GAUGAACGCUGGCGGCGUGCCUAAUACAUGCAAGUCGAGCGAACGGACGAGAAGCUUGCUUCUCUGAUGUUAGCGGCGGACGGGUGAGUAACACGUGGAUAACCUACCUAUAAGACUGGGAUAACUUCGGGAAACCGGAGCUAAUACCGGAUAAUUUUUUGAACCGCUUUGUUCAAACGUGAAAGUCGGUCUUUCUGUCACUUAUCGAUGGAUCCGCGCUGUAUUAGCUAGUUGGUAAGGUAACGGCUUACCAAGGCAACGAUGCAUAGCCGACCUGAGAGAGUGAUCGCCCACACUGGAACUGAGACACGGUCCAGACGCCUACGGGAGGCAGCAGUAGGGAAUCUUCCGCAAAGGGCGAAAGCCUGACGGAGCAACGCGGCGUGAGGGAUGAAGGUCUUCGGAUCGUAAAACUCUGUUAUUAGGAAAGAACAUAUGUGUAAGUAACUGUGCACAUCUUGACGGUACCUAAUCAAAAAGCCACGGCUAACUACGUG
Molecule: ribosomal RNA, 497 nt
Filed under: uncultured bacterium
Lineage: Bacteria
Description: partial 16S ribosomal RNA
Rfam family: Bacterial small subunit ribosomal RNA
Source: RNAcentral